This 690-nucleotide ribosomal RNA is filed under the name Cronobacter sp. Its description in RNAcentral is "bacterial SSU rRNA". It matches the Rfam family "Bacterial small subunit ribosomal RNA", at positions 794 to 1484 of the family's 1533-position model. The record is from RNAcentral. Lineage: Bacteria; Pseudomonadati; Pseudomonadota; Gammaproteobacteria; Enterobacterales; Enterobacteriaceae.
UCCACGCCGUAAACGAUGUCGACUUGGAGGUUGUGCCCUUGAGGCGUGGCUUCCGGAGCUAACGCGUUAAGUCGACCGCCUGGGGAGUACGGCCGCAAGGUUAAAACUCAAAUGAAUUGACGGGGGCCCGCACAAGCGGUGGAGCAUGUGGUUUAAUUCGAUGCAACGCGAGGAACCUUACCUGGUCUUGACAUCCAGAGAAUCCUGCAGAGAUGCGGGAGUGCCUUCGGGAACUCUGAGACAGGUGCUGCAUGGCUGUCGUCAGCUCGUGUUGUGAAAUGUUGGGUUAAGUCCCGCAACGAGCGCAACCCUUAUCCUUUGUUGCCAGCGGUUCGGCCGGGAACUCAAAGGAGACUGCCGGUGAUAAACCGGAGGAAGGUGGGGAUGACGUCAAGUCAUCAUGGCCCUUACGACCAGGGCUACACACGUGCUACGAUGGCGCAUACAAAGAGAAGCGACCUCGCGAGAGCAAGCGGACCUCAUAAAGUGCGUCGUAGUCCGGAUUGGAGUCUGCAACUCGACUCCAUGAAGUCGGAAUCGCUAGUAAUCGUGGAUCAGAAUGCCACGGUGAAUACGUUCCCGGGCCUUGUACACACCGCCCGUCACACCAUGGGAGUGGGUUGCAAAAGAAGUAGGUAGCUUAACCUUCGGGAGGGCGCUUACCACUUUGUGAUUCAUGACUGGGGUGAA